Tetranychus urticae (two-spotted spider mite) is the source of this 627-nucleotide long non-coding RNA. RefSeq lists it as uncharacterized. NCBI's taxonomy places the organism in Eukaryota, Metazoa, Arthropoda, Arachnida, Trombidiformes, Tetranychidae. The record is from RefSeq and is a predicted model, not a curated record.
UUCAUUCAACAGUUCUUGCUUGUUUAGUUCAUUCAAAUCUCUGAACACAGUCUUUACUUUUUGCUUUUUCAAUUUUUUGUUCAAACAAAAAACAAAAACCAAUCAACAUGAAUUCAAUGGUUACACUCGUUUUGGCAGUCAUUGCUAUCUGUUUAUACAUCGGAGUCCCCAUGGUUGAAGCUGGUUUCCUCGGUGGUGGUUACGGCGGUGGUUAUGGCCGACCCUACGGUGGUGGCUACGGUGGUGGCUACGGUAGUGGAUACGGUGGUGGAUACGGUGGUGGAUACCGACGAGGAUAUGGUGGAUACGGUUACGGUCGAUAGAAACUUUCAUUUCCAAUCCCAAUUAUCAGCUAAGAUUGAGUUCGCGGCAAACAAUCCAUUAACCAAUUUUGAUGUCGUUUAGAUUAUUUUCUUAAUAUUAAUCCUUUUUUAAUCAAUUAUCCUUUACCAUCGACUUGAAAGACAAUUUAACUGUUGAUAGAGAUCGCUAACCUGGUUCGCUUUUUCCAUUAUACUUUGAUAAACAAAGUUAAGAUGUUUAUAAUUUUGUAUUUGAUGUCUUUGAAAAUGGCAACCUCGAUACAGCAACAGAAAUUAAAUUAAAAAGUUCUUGAAUGCAUUAUAA